Molecule: ribosomal RNA, 391 nt
Filed under: Stramenopiles sp. MAST-4E
Lineage: Eukaryota
Description: partial small subunit ribosomal RNA
Rfam family: Eukaryotic small subunit ribosomal RNA
Source: RNAcentral
AUUCCAGCUCCAAUAGCGUAUAUUAAAGUUGUUGCAGUUAAAAAGCUCGUAGUUGGAUUUCUGGUUGAAGCGACCGGUCGGGCGUUGAUUCGUCUGCACUGGAGUCGGUUUUGGCCAUCCUCUAGGAAAGUGCGUCUGGUAUUAAGUUGUCGGGCGUAUGAUCCUGGUCUUUUACUGUGAAAAAAUUAGAGUGUUUAAAGCAGGCCUUCGCCUUGAAUACAUUAGCAUGGAAUAAUAAGAUAGGACUUUGGUCUAUUUUGUUGGUUUGCAGACCGAAGUAAUGAUUAAUAGGGAUAGUUGGGGGUAUUUAUAUUCCGAUGUCAGAGGUGAAAUUCUUAGAUUUUCGGAAGAUAAACUUAUGUGAAAGCAUUUACCAAGGAUGUUUUCAUCA